CUGUUAAGACCAGCAAAGCGCCGGACCCCCGUUGGGUCCUAUUACUGUGGCUACCAUUCACUGGUAUAUGAAUGUCGGUCAUUUCCAACACCCCCCCGUGAGCGACACUCUCUCGCUACGGGCCUUCCCGUGCCUCAUCCCGGUCUCCCAUUCUCUGGGCAACAGCCAGUGGGUAUCGAUCCGGCGACCUCUCGGCAGCGCAAUGCGCCAUUCGGGGCUCAUAACCUGUUAAGACCAGCAAAGCGCCGGACCCCCGUUGGGUCCUAUUACUGUGGCUACCAUUCACUGGUAUAUGAAUGUCGGUCAUUUCCAACACUGCCAACGCGAAGAAGGCCUGGGACGCCUUGGGAUCUAUGGGAUCUAUGUCUGCUCCCGUCGCGUCCCGGCGCGUCCGGGUUCAAAUCCGCCUGCCGACCUCUCGGGGUGUUUGAGAGGUGAUGAAAUGGGAGGUGGCCCCCCAUCUUAUGGACGGUGUAGGACGUGAUAAAAUCAACUCGCGAGCUGACCAGGAACUAAGUUGACGCGCCGUUGAUCCGCUAGAUUUGGUUGGAUGCUGGUGGUGAGUUGCCAAACUCAAAGAGUACACUCUGAAGUCGGAUGGGGUGAAUGGCUUAGGGUGCCCCUCUAGCAGGGGAGAGCAGGGAACUGCCUCGGGAAGGAGGCCACUGGUGAAGCUUAACCACCCUGUAACAACAUCAACAUCAACAACGCCCGGCGGGCGGCUGGCAGAGGUUAAGGCCUGGCUUCUGCUCCCGGCGCGUUACGGCACGUCCGGGUUCAAAUCCGCCUGCCGACCUCUCGGGGUGUUUGAGAGGUGUUGAAAUGGGAGGUGGCCCCCCAUCUUAUGGACGGUGUAGGACGUGAUAAAAUCAACUCGCGAGCUGACCAGGAACUAAGAUGACGCGCCGUUGAUCCGCUAGAUUUGGUUGGAUGCUGGUGGUGAGUUGCCAAACUCAAAGAGUACACUCUGAAGUCGGAUGGGGUGAAUGGCUUAGGGUGCCCCUCUAGCAGGGGAGAGCAGGGAACUGCCUCGGGAAGGAGGCCACUGGUGAAGCUUAACCACCCUGUAACAACAUCAACAACGCCCGCAAGGUGUCUCUACGUCAAGAAUUCAG
RNAcentral lists this long non-coding RNA (1115 nucleotides) under Volvox carteri. RNAcentral's name for it is "long non-coding RNA (VCAR_LNC000987)". The record is from RNAcentral. Lineage: Eukaryota; Viridiplantae; Chlorophyta; Chlorophyceae; Chlamydomonadales; Volvocaceae.